UGUUACUUUCAGGUGUCCAAAAAGUGAUCCAAUAUGUAUGUAUGUAUGUGUAUGUAUGUGUGCGUAUAUAUAUAUAUAUAUAUACGCACACAUACAUACACAUACAUACAUACAUAUUGGAUCACUUUUUGGACACCUGAAAGUAACA
Non-coding RNA from Camelus ferus (Wild Bactrian camel), 148 nucleotides. Lineage: Eukaryota; Metazoa; Chordata; Mammalia; Artiodactyla; Camelidae. The record is from Rfam.